GGUGUGAUGUGUGCGUGGUUGUCAUCUGCGUCAUGUACCGUCGCCAGGCUGUGUCUUACAGCGUGUCGGCAGUGCUCACUCCACACACCUGCGGCCAUAGAGCCACUGGAGAUCAUAGUACUGGCUCUGUGAAGUCUUUGACUCCUUACCACUGGUCAGCCUCCAUACUCUCCUACAAAC
Molecule: small nucleolar RNA, 180 nt
Organism: Hucho hucho (huchen)
Lineage: Eukaryota; Metazoa; Chordata; Actinopteri; Salmoniformes; Salmonidae
Source: Ensembl